GCCAUUUGCUAUAUCCUCAUAUAGGUGUCUGUGUAGCAAUGGCCCUAGCGAGGGUAGAUCGCUAGCCCCUGGCGGAAUGUGCCUCAGAAGCAGGAACAACAAAUGGUGCCCCGUGUGAGGAAGAAUAGGUCCGUCGCUCCCCAAUGUCCCAGGUGUUGCCUGAGAUCCGGUGAGGGAUCUGCUCCUGGCCAGGAGGAUGGAGUGGAGGAGAACAAGAUGGCAACUGUUUCCUGACCCACCCCUCGCCACUGUAUCCGGUCCGACCGACUCGACCCGGAUAUCCUUUUAUGGAGUUGAGGGCGCAUGCGACUGAUCAGGGGUCUCCACAACAGGGAGGACCUGUUUUGUUGGCUAUUUCAAGGGGUUGGCCGAUGGUGGUCAUUGACCUCAAGGUCUGCUUUUUCUCUAUCCCUCUCACAGAAGAGGACCGAGAAGCAUUUGCCUUCACGUUUCCGGUGACUAAUAAUGAAGGGCCUGCAGAGAGAUAUCAAUGGCGUGCCCUCCCUCAGGGAAUGAUGUGCUCCCCUACAGUGUGUCAACUAGUAGUGGGAAAUGUUCUGAAGGCGGUCUGAAAAGAUUUCCCUCAGUAUAUGGUUGUACAUUAUAUGGACAAUCUAUUGCUUGCUGCUCCCUCUUAUUUGGGGCUACAUAUGCUUGAGACUCGGGUAGUGGAAACCUUGACCACUGCCAGAUUUGUUAUCUCUGAACAAAAAUUGCAGAGGGGCCCGGGGGUUGAAUACCUCGGAUAUAAGUUUCGCCCAGAGAUGGUUCGGCCAACAGGGCUUGACAUUUGACCCCACAUUACCACCCUGUGGGAUGUGCAGAAGUUGGUGGGGGCAAUUCAGUGGGUCCGAGGGGCCUUGGGAAUUGCCUCCCGGCUUAUGAAACCCUUCUAUGAUCAACUGAAGGAGGUGGACCCGAGAGAACCUCGAGAGCUCACCCAUGAUAUGGCUGCUGCAUGGCAUGAAAUUCUGCAGUGUUGUAUGGUGCAGUCGCUAGCGCGGUGGGACCCCAAUCUAGAUCUUGAAGUAGCAGCGACUCGAUGCGAGGCCGGUACAACUGCCAUUUUGGGCCAUACCCUUGAUGCUAAGCCACGACCUCUGUGGUGGUUGUUUUCAGUGCAGCCUACGUGAGUCUACACUUCCUGGCUUGAGAUCUUAGCAAUGCUGCUCAGGAAGUCCCUAUUGCUAUUGUUGCAGGCCCUGGCAAGAGAACCUCAUGUUAUAUACCUGCAGAGCUCAUUUCGGGACAUGCAGCCGCUCCCUGAAGCCCUUCUUACGGUGUUGCGGGGCUUUGGGGGAAGCACUGUGUACUCUGAUUCGUUACCCAUUUUUGAUUUAGCUAAGCCCCUCAAUGUCUCCCUUCGAUCUCGUGUCCUAACCUCUCUGCUUGAUGGGCCCACCCUGUUCACGGAUGCAUCUUCAACCACCGGACAGGGGCAGGACUCAAGCAACAGUUGGGAGACCGCUGUUUUUACCGAUCAGACAGCUAGUGUGCAAAUGCUUGAGGUGAUGACUGUGGCGGUAGCAGUGCAUUUGUGGUGAGAGAUUCCAUGUAACAUCGUCACUAAUUCUGCUUUCGUGGCCAGACUGCUUGUCUACAUGGAUCAAGAAGGGCAUCUGAGCUCUGAGGCCGCUGGCCUCCUAGAAGAAGCUUUGGCUUCCUGCUCAGCUCCUGUGGCCAUCUUGCAUGUCUGCAGCCAUUCUGAUGUGCCAGGCUUCUUUACAGCAGGGAAUGCUGUAGUGGACAGAGCUGCCCAUACACUUGUUUUCAUGGUUCACGAAGCCCGUGACCUUCAUGCCACCCUUCACAUAGGCGCCCGUGCACUGGCUAGGACAUGUUCCAUUCCUUUGUCUGUUGCACGCGAUGUUGUUCAGGGAUGUCCCCACUGUAAUUCUGCACCUGUAAUAGAGGCUGGAGUUAACCCCCAUGGUCUCGGACCAUUACAAAUUUGACAAACAGAUUUCACUUGGGAACACCAUCUGUCCCCCCACCCUUGGCUUACCAUCACGGUGGAUACUUCCUCCAUUGUCAUCGUAGCCACGCAGCAUGCUAAGUCUAACUUGUCCGUGGCACAAUAUCAUUGGGUUGCUGCCAUUGCUGUGAUGGGCUUGCCUAAUCAGAUUAAGACUGAUAAUGGGUCCUGCUUCAUCUCGUAAAACAUCUUGAGAUGGGAAAAAUAGUAUGGGUACCAUUGCGGAAAGUUAAAUCAGAUGCCAGCAAGGAAAUAACCGGACUAUGAGCCUUCUUGUUCACAGGUUUGGCUCCUGGGGAGGCCUAAACCACAGACAGAGGAGACAAGAGAACAAAAAAAAAGGAGCCGUUCCUGAAAGCUCCUGCUAAGACUGCAGCACAUGCUAAGUAUACAACACUUUUGCUUAUAGUAUCGGCAAUAGGUACUGCUCAGGCCUGGGAAAGCAACGGGUAUGUCAACGUUACCCACGUAAUGGCCCAGCAUUUCAAUUUAUCAGACUGUUGGAUUUGUACUGCCUUACCACGGGGAGGGAACUCCCCUUGCUAGGAGUUCCAGUGCCAUUCAGAAACUGGAGCUUGCCAUGGGACGCGGUGCAAGUACAGUACAUGGGGCGUGGCGAAAGUUUGUAUUGGUUUGUGCGGGCUUCAUGUGGUCUGGCGGGGCACGCAUCCCUACUCCCUAGCGGGGAAACAUUAUGCUGGAGUUUUCAGGACCCCUUGACCUCUUGACCGCCCAAGGUCAUGAAACCAGACGUAGCUUGUUAUCUGAAUACUAGCUCUCCGAGGUUUGAGAUGCUAUCCCCAUGGCCGAACAAUACUGUUGUCCUGGCGCAGAAUGGCAGCUACAGUGUGGGUCAUUUUUCAGCAGUGAACGUUACUUGAUGCCCAAGCUCAGAGCACUGCCCUAGGCCGAUAGUGGUGGCCUUGAGCAAUCCUGGCGGUACCCCACUGGGAUGUCCUCCCAAAGGUCUAUGGUGGCUGUAUGGGGAUGGCCGAGCAAGGAAAAGUGUACCAUCUGAUUGGAGUGGCUCUUGCACCUUGGGAGCCCUCAUUCCAAAUGUUGUCUGGCAUAACUGAUCGGCACCUCCUCCUGGAAUCCUACGAACACACUGGAGGAGAGUGCAGAGGGUUCUGAACCCUGUAGUGGAGAAACCUACUGGUUUACACAGUUUUGCUAGAUGGUUCAUCCCAUCCUUGGGGGUGAGUGAGUUAGAGAAAACGUUUGUUAACAUUUCAGCCACCUUGGAAAUGAUAGAAAAUGCCACCGUUGAUGCAAUCAGGACAUUACAAGGAGAAGUCUCUACACUUAGCAAGGUGGUAUUACAGAAUAGGAUGGCAUUAGACCUCUUAAUGGCAAAAGAAGGAGGAGUCUGUGUGGUAAUAAACCACAGCUGCUGUGCCUAUGUCGAUAAGACUCAGAGGGUAGAGACGGGCAUACAAGCAAUAUGGGAACGGACUAAAUUACUCCAUCAAGUGUCCAUGGACGAUACUUCAUGCGGAUUUCGGGACUUAUGGGAGAAGCUCAUGAGUUGGUUACCUGACUUCACAUGGCUGAAGCAACUCUUCAUCGUUUGUGUCAUCAUAAUGAUCAUACUUAUAUUAAUGUGAGUCACUAUGCGAUGUAUGUUGUGCCUAUGUAUAAAUUCUGGGAAGGGCUAUGGAAAAUGGAAAAAACUCAGGUUAGGGCAGCAACUAAGGUACUUAUAGUUGCCUUGCCUCUAAUUGUAUUAUAUGUAAUAUAAUCGCCAUAUGCUGUAGCAAGUAGACUAGCUUAAAAGACCCAACAUAGCUUGCCAUCCCCUCUGUGUCCUAGGCUGGCGAUCUCGGUGGGUGUUGAUUAAGAAAUUGCAGUCACGCUGUAACGGGGCAAGACUUUACUGAGCAUGGGGAGGGGGAAAUAUUGCAGUAGGCGUUAACGGGGACUCGAGAUGUGACACGAUAGGACCUCCCCUGCUCUGUGAUUUAAAUAUGACAUGUGCUUAGGGAGCGUAGACAAGGCAAGGUGUGUAUUUAAGGAGCUGCCACGCUGUAAUAAACGCCAUUUGCUAUAUCCUCAUAUAGGUGUCUGUGUAGUAAUGGCCCUAGCGAGGGUAGAUUGUUAGCUCCCGGCAGAACGUGCCUGUGAAGCGGGAGCAACAAACGUGCGUGUCGCUAAUGUGCAUAACAGAACUUGCCUUACCCAUGGGUUACCAGGAGGCUAAGAAAAGUAAUCUAACACCUAGGCCAACUUGCAGACUCCUUGGGUAAUUCAUGCCGGACGAGUCACCUCAGCAUGUGCCAGAUUUUCACAUAUAAUAUGAUUACAAGUAAUAAACAAAUCAGUGUUAGAAUUAAUAAAAUCACAACUGGGUGAAGCACAGAAUUAAAAGCUCCUCUUGCUGUUGGUGACCAUCCAAGAAGCAUUUCCCACCAGUGGUGUUCUCCAUCCUUCUUCACCCUUUCUAGGACAUGGUGUAUCUCUUUUGUAUCAUGGUGAACAGUAAUUAGAAUUUUUUUGUCUGUUAUCUCAGAUGCAUUCUAGCAGUUGGUACAGAUCAUCAUGUUGCAGUAAUUUCUUUAAUAAAUCAAGGUUCAUUCCACUUGAUGCAGGUA
This is a long non-coding RNA of Gallus gallus (chicken), 4566 nucleotides long. RefSeq lists it as uncharacterized. The transcript has 2 exons. Lineage: Eukaryota; Metazoa; Chordata; Aves; Galliformes; Phasianidae. The record is from RefSeq and is a predicted model, not a curated record.